This 398-nucleotide ribosomal RNA is filed under the name Salmonella enterica. RNAcentral's name for it is "partial 23S ribosomal RNA". It matches the Rfam family "Bacterial large subunit ribosomal RNA", at positions 121 to 559 of the family's 2925-position model. Lineage: Bacteria; Pseudomonadati; Pseudomonadota; Gammaproteobacteria; Enterobacterales; Enterobacteriaceae. RNAcentral also lists the same sequence under 3 other names. The record is from RNAcentral.
GGGAAACCCAGUGUGAUUCGUCACACUAUCAUUAACUGAAUCCAUAGGUUAAUGAGGCGAACCGGGGGAACUGAAACAUCUAAGUACCCCGAGGAAAAGAAAUCAACCGAGAUUCCCCCAGUAGCGGCGAGCGAACGGGGAGGAGCCCAGAGCCUGAAUCAGCAUGUGUGUUAGUGGAAGCGUCUGGAAAGGCGCGCGAUACAGGGUGACAGCCCCGUACACAAAAGCGCAUGUGCUGUGAGCUCGAUGAGUAGGGCGGGACACGUGGUAUCCUGUCUGAAUAUGGGGGGACCAUCCUCCAAGGCUAAAUACUCCUGACUGACCGAUAGUGAACCAGUACCGUGAGGGAAAGGCGAAAAGAACCCCGGCGAGGGGAGUGAAAAAGAACCUGAAACCGU